Mus caroli (Ryukyu mouse) is the source of this 221-nucleotide long non-coding RNA. RefSeq lists it as uncharacterized. The record is from RefSeq and is a predicted model, not a curated record. Lineage: Eukaryota; Metazoa; Chordata; Mammalia; Rodentia; Muridae.
GCAGGCCUGAUACAGAGUUCAUAGACAUUGAGCCAAAGCCUCAUGUCAUAGUAGAGAGUAGAAGUCAUGAUGUGAAGUUCAGAGGAGAGAGGAGAUCCUACCUGAUGUGAACUCAGCAGCCCCAGGGUUAGUCCUGACAUAAGGGGAGAUUCCUAUGGAGACAUGGGGCUGAGUGGAACACACAUUUUCAGCUAAAACCAAGCCAGGAAGAGGGAGACAGG